AUCUUAAAUUGUUCCAUACGCAAUGACGACCCGACUGAAUUCUCUGUCGUGUGGUACCACGGUCAUGAUUUAUUAUCGGAGCGUAGGGCUCCUCGUAAUUUAUGCACACCGGCUAGCCACCAACCAACUGUCGUACCAUCGUUGCACAAUACCGUCUGCAAUUUCGUGGAACGUUCGACCGGUAACUUGCAAAACAAUCGUCCCUGCCAGCAACCUCCGAAAGGAAUCAUUUUGAUUCGCGGUUUCGUCCCGCAAACGCAUAUUCCGUUAAUUAACUCGACUGUGUGCCUGGACUGCGUUUCAAUUAUGAUUACUUUGAACGUGCGUGCUACGUGACCAGAAAUACAUACUUGGCAGAGCCUUUGAAUUUGAACAUCAUGCAGUAUCGCGUAGUAUCGAGCGCUUUCGUGGUCGAUGCGGUCGAAAGUCAGGGAAUUUAUCAUAGGAUAAUUAUACGACAUAUUCGUAGCUCCAACUAUAAAUACGUCAUAGUUAUAAUUCACAGAGUAAGACUUAGAGUAUGUUCAAAAUUGAAUAAAGUGAUUCUUACGUCUUUUUAUAUCUCGCAUAUAAAUUAACGGGACCGUUGAUAAGAAUACGUUGAAGAGGAUUUGUGAACGUCGAGGGUAAACCAAGAUUCUGGUCAGAGUUUCAGCUGUCAUGCGGAGGCCACGUUUUCGACGUGGAAAACAGGAAAAAAGGAAAUAGUGUACGUCGAGUUUGAAAUUUCGCUGACGAAGGAUGUCUCAUUAAGGUCGAUCGGUAAAAUCAAAAUAUACCAUGCAUGUGUAGUAAAAAAAAUGGAAUACACAUACAUGACGCAAACAUUGGACUAACGAAAAAUCAGAUAAAAAUUGGCGAAAAAAGUUUGGCGAGAAAAACAUUUUUUUGGUCGUUUAUUCCAUUGAAAAUCAAGAGAAAGACCUGAAAUAUCGCUGUCAUCUUAUGGAUUAUGACAAUCAACAUAUAAUACGACUCUUUUACACGAUAAUUUACCAACAAGUGAAAUUAGUAAAUUAAGUUAGAAGUUGUUAGUGACGUUCCUUUUACAAUUUUACGCCAAAUGAUUGUUAACGAUGAUAAUAUAAUUUGUACAAUUUUCUCGUACAACUUCCUUCGUUCCGUUACCAAACACGUCGCUGUCAUGCAAUAGGAUUUCUUAAAGAAAACGUUCACGCGCUAAGAGUCUUUCCGCGCUUUGAGCGCACGGAAGAACACUGAAUGAUUAUUGACUCAUGCUGAUUGAAUCUCCGUUUGGGGCUUCGUUGGAUGCUCGAUCGAGUUCAACAUAGCAUCGGACAUAGAAUCGCCCAACCGUGAACAUCAGUCGGGGAAUCAGUCUCGUCUAAUCACUCAAAACGUGCCUUCGAAUCGUUAGCAUCUUCUGCACCAGACGUGGAGUAAGAAUAGUUAAUUCUCUCAAUCUUCAGAAAGAGCAGUUUCACACAGUCUGCCUUCUGCGAUAACGUCUUCUCCACCAGACGUGAAGCACAGAACCGUUUCAAUCUCCGAACAUUUGCAGAGAGCAGUCCCAUCUGCAUUUCCAGGUUCAUCAACAUCUCCUAACGCUCGUGGACGCGACUUCAACCGCUCGGAGAGACAGAAUCGUUUCAUCAGUCGAGACGAUCGGUUGAUAGUUCUGUGCCAGAUC
Long non-coding RNA from Bombus huntii, 1651 nucleotides. RefSeq lists it as uncharacterized. The record is from RefSeq and is a predicted model, not a curated record. NCBI's taxonomy places the organism in Eukaryota, Metazoa, Arthropoda, Insecta, Hymenoptera, Apidae. The transcript is spliced from 4 exons.